GAGCCUGUAGCUCAGUCAGGUCAGAGCGCUGCUCUGAUAAGGCAGAAGUCCCCGGUUCGAAUCCGGGCAGGCUCA
Molecule: transfer RNA, 75 nt
Filed under: Candidatus Pacearchaeota archaeon
Lineage: Archaea; Nanobdellati
Description: tRNA-Ile
Rfam family: tRNA
About the family: Transfer RNA (tRNA) molecules are approximately 80 nucleotides in length. Their secondary structure includes four short double-helical elements and three loops (D, anti-codon, and T loops).
Source: RNAcentral